GUCUUUUUGAAAUAAAUUUAAAGUCUGACCUGCCCACUGAUAUAAUUAAAGGGCCGCGGUAUUUUGACCGUGCAAAGGUAGCAUAAUCAUUAGUUUUUUAAUUGAAAGCUUGUAUGAAUGGUUGGACGAAAUAUUUACUGUCUCAUAAAAAUUUAUAUUAGAAAUUAAUUUUUUUGUUAAAAAGCAAAAAUAAUUUUAGAGGACGAGAAGACCCUAUAGAGCUUUAUAAUUUUAUUAUUUAAUUUUUUAAGAAAAUUUUGAAUUUUAUAAAAAUAAUUAUUUUGUUGGGGUGACAGUAAAAUUUAUAAAACUUUUAUUAUAUUAUUACAUUGAUUAAUGAAUAUUUGAUCCAUUAUUAAUGAUUAAAAAAUUAAGUUACCUUAGGGAUAACAGCGUAAUUUUUUUUAAGAGUUCAUAUCGACAAAAAAGAUUGCGACCUCGAUGUUGGAUUAAGAAUUAUUUUUAGGUGUAGAAGUUUAAAGUUUAGGUCUGUUCGACCUUUGAAUUCUU
This 510-nucleotide ribosomal RNA is filed under the name Dicranomyia hawaiiensis. Its description in RNAcentral is "partial 16S ribosomal RNA". It matches the Rfam family "Bacterial large subunit ribosomal RNA", at positions 1819 to 2597 of the family's 2925-position model. The record is from RNAcentral. Lineage: Eukaryota; Metazoa; Arthropoda; Insecta; Diptera; Limoniidae.